RNAcentral lists this ribosomal RNA (565 nucleotides) under uncultured bacterium. RNAcentral describes it as "partial 16S ribosomal RNA". It matches the Rfam family "Bacterial small subunit ribosomal RNA", at positions 355 to 912 of the family's 1533-position model. The record is from RNAcentral.
UGGGGAAUUUUGGACAAUGGGCGAAAGCCUGAUCCAGCAAUGCCGCGUGUGUGAAGAAGGCCUUCGGGUUGUAAAGCACUUUUGUCCGGAAAGAAAUCCUUGGCUCUAAUACAGUCGGGGGAUGACGGUACCGGAAGAAUAAGCACCGGCUAACUACGUGCCAGCAGCCGCGGUAAUACGUAGGGUGCAAGCGUUAAUCGGAAUUACUGGGCGUAAAGCGUGCGCAGGCGGUUUGCUAAGACCGAUGUGAAAUCCCCGGGCUCAACCUGGGAACUGCAUUGGUGACUGGCAGGCUAGAGUAUGGCAGAGGGGGGUAGAAUUCCACGUGUAGCAGUGAAAUGCGUAGAGAUGUGGAGGAAUACCGAUGGCGAAGGCAGCCCCCUGGGCAAGUACUGACGCUCAUGCACGAAAGCGUGGGGAGCAAACAGGAUUAGAUACCCUGGUAGUCCACGCCCUAAAACGAUGUCAACUAGUUGUUGGGGAUUCAUUUCCUUAGUAACGUAGCUAACGCGUGAAGUUGACCGCCUGGGGAGUACGGUCGCAAGAUUAAAACUCAAAUGAAUUG